GACGAACGCUGGCGGUGUGCUUAACACAUGCAAGUCGAACGGCAACGCCCUGCUUUUGUGGGGUGCUCGAGUGGCGAACGGGUGAGUAACACGUGAGUAACCUGCCCUUGACUUUGGGAUAACUUCAGGAAACUGGGGCUACUACCGGAUAGCAGCUCCUGCUCCAUGGUGGGGGUUGGAACGUUUCGGCGGUUGGGGAUGGAUUCGCGGCUUAUGGGCUUGCUGGUGGGGUAGUGGCUUACCAACCCUUUGACGGGUACCCGGCCUGGGAGGGUGACCGGCGACAUUGGGACUGAGAUACGGACCAGACUGCUACAGGAGGCAGCAGUGGGGAGUAUUGCACAGUGGGCGGAAGCCUGAUGCAGCAACGCCGCGUGCGGGAUGACGGCCUUCGGGUUAUAAAACGCUUUCGCCUGUGACGAAGCGGGAGUGACGGUAAUGGAUGAAGAAGCACCGGCUAACUACGUG
RNAcentral lists this ribosomal RNA (468 nucleotides) under uncultured bacterium. Its description in RNAcentral is "partial 16S ribosomal RNA". It matches the Rfam family "Bacterial small subunit ribosomal RNA", at positions 28 to 507 of the family's 1533-position model. The record is from RNAcentral.